RNAcentral lists this ribosomal RNA (443 nucleotides) under uncultured bacterium. RNAcentral describes it as "partial 16S ribosomal RNA". It matches the Rfam family "Bacterial small subunit ribosomal RNA", at positions 338 to 795 of the family's 1533-position model. The record is from RNAcentral.
CCUACGGGUGGCAGCAGUGGGGAAUAUUGGGCAAUGGGCGCAAGCCUGACCCAGCAACGCCGCGUGAAGGAAGAAGGCUUUCGGGUUGUAAACUUCUUUUCUCAGGGACGAAGAAAGUGACGGUACCUGAGGAAUAAGCCACGGCUAACUACGUGCCAGCAGCCGCGGUAAUACGUAGGUGGAAAGCGUUAUCCGGAUGUAGUGGGGGUAAAGGGCGUGUAGGCGGGAGCGCAAGUCAGAUGUGAAAACUCAGGGCUCAACCUGGGGACUGCAUUUGAAACUGUGUUUCUUGAGUGUUGGAGAGGCAAGUGGAAUUCCGGGUGUAGCGGUGAAAUGCGUAGAUAUAUGGAGGAACACCAGUGGCGAAGGCGGAUUGCUGGACAGUAACUGACGCUGAGGCGCGAAAGCGUGGGGAGCAAACAGGAUUAGAUACCCUUGUAGUC